This 1076-nucleotide unclassified non-coding RNA is filed under the name Hevea brasiliensis (rubber tree). The record is from RNAcentral. Lineage: Eukaryota; Viridiplantae; Streptophyta; Magnoliopsida; Malpighiales; Euphorbiaceae.
UAUUUUUUUUUUUUUUUGUUGUAAUGUUUAUUUCUUUUAAAGUGUUAUUGGUGACUAUAUUUAGGCGUUGAGUUUGGCUGCAGAGAAAUGGAGAGAAUUAAGUUCUAAUUAUUUGGUAUUUUGUUGCUUGAUACUAGAGAAAACAUUGACUUUUAACCUAAUAUUGUUGUUCUUGGUUUUUUCCUGCAUUAGAAUGAGAGAAUUGGGGCAAUUCAUUAUAAUUGAGUAUUAAGUGAUUCUAAGCAUUAAACAAAGAAAAGUUGAAUUAUUAUUAUUAUAUUUUAUACUUCUAAGCUAUUUUAAUAUAACGUAAUGUAAAAUAGAGAGAAAUGCAAUGUAAUUAUCAUUUUGUUUGCAUCUUUGGUUGCAAAACAUAUAUAUAUAUAAUGUAAUCAUAAUUUUUGCUAUAAUAAUUGGUCUUUUUUUUUCCGGUGGUAAUAACAAGUAACAACAAAGUGACAGUGGUGGUUGCUGAGUGGUGGUGGGCUGGUGGCAGCAGUUCUGAAGGUAGUGGUGGUAGUUGUCAAGUAGUAGUAGCAAUUACCGCUUUUGCAUUAUUAUUAUGAUAAAAAAUUAAAAAAAAAAUUGUGGCAACAACACAAUGUUUGGGAUUAUUUUAAUAAAAUAAGAUAAUGUUUACUCCAUGAAACAGGAAAACUAAAACAGAAAUGUUAGGUUAAACAAUUUGUCAUGUUUGGAAAUUUCAAGGGAUAUGAAAGUAUUAUAAGCAUUAAAAGAAAUGGGAGGAUAAACAAUUUCUCAUGUUUGGAAGUUUCAAGGAAUAAGUAUAAUAAUUAUAUUAAGAAAAUAUUUUUAAUGUUCAGGGGUGAAUAACUCUUAUUCCUUCAAUUUUUAUGACUUUGAUUAUGCCCUAUCAAAUAUAUCCUUAAUAUUUUCUUUGUUAUAAAAGUUGUACAUUAGUAGAUUUAAGCAGUAGAAGAAUUGGCAUGGAAUGUGUAAUUAGAUUGUGACAGAGCGAGGAUCCUUUUCUACACAUUGAGCUGGAAAGCGUUGAGAGGGAGAGGGUGUUGCUCACUAAAUUGAGAGAAGGGGGAAGGAUAAAGAGGUGAGGAGAG